AGAGCCCUCCUACCCUCCAGCAGAUCCACACUCACACCCAGCUUGGUGUUACCACAGUUCCUUGAGGCCCCAGAGUGUGCCAAUGGUCUCCAUGAUUCCAUGAGGCCUCCCGGAAUCACAAUGUCCCUUUGCUUCCAUGGAACCCCUUGGUGUCACAAAGUCCCUUGGAUCCUUGGGUCCCGCAGUGUCACAAUGGCGCCGUGGUCCCCCAAGGCCCUGCAGUGUCCCAGUGGAUCCUUGGUUCCAUGAGGUCUGGCAGCACAGCAAUGCUCUCCUUGGUUCCCACUCUCUUUUAUGCCUCUCACUGUCAGAUAAUAGAAGGACACCUGGCAGAUGAAGGGGAGUAGGAGUGGAUAUCUACUCGAGGAGGGAAUAAUAAAAAUUCCUUCUGGCCCCCACUCCCCAGCCAGGUGCCACUUCAGAACAGCUAUGAGCCCCUGGAUCUAGAGAGUCAACCGCAUGAUUUAGAAGAAAAUUAUCUGCCCAGUGAGCCUCCCAAAUUAUGAUUCAUGUCUGAGAAGGAUUACCACCUGUAACAUCAAAAAGGAAAGAAGUAUAAUCGUGGUCUUAACUAGAAAGAGGACCUGGAAUGUUAGACCGAAAAAGUGGAAUCUCCUAAUCUCCUAUGAGGACGGAGGCCCCAGCUCUGCCUGGAGACCAGCGGACAAAGCUGCAUCCUCCUCCUCCUCCUCCGUGCCACUCCUGGGAGCAGCGGCAGCGUGGGUGCAACCCGUCGAUUUCUCCCCACCUGAGCUGAUUCUUUUUAACAAAGGCAUUAAAAAGGAGAAAGA
Passer domesticus (house sparrow) is the source of this 791-nucleotide long non-coding RNA. RefSeq lists it as uncharacterized. NCBI's taxonomy places the organism in Eukaryota, Metazoa, Chordata, Aves, Passeriformes, Passeridae. The transcript has 2 exons. The record is from RefSeq and is a predicted model, not a curated record.